This 338-nucleotide long non-coding RNA is filed under the name Homo sapiens (human). RNAcentral's name for it is "non-protein coding LINC00836:10". The record is from RNAcentral. Lineage: Eukaryota; Metazoa; Chordata; Mammalia; Primates; Hominidae.
ACAGUGAAACGAGCUUGCAUGAGAGCAUCCCAGGACCACUGAACAUUCAGAGAACAGCCAGUUGUAAGGGGUAAAAUAAAUUGGAGAAGAGAACAUCCACAUGGAUUAAGUCCCAAGCUCACCCUUUGUUAGUGAGAAUGUAGUCACGUGGCCAUACCUACUACAAGGUAGGCUAGAACAUAUAAUCUCAUUGGAUAGCCAUGAUAUUGCUACAUUAACAUAUAAGAAGGGGAGAUGAAUUUUGGUGGACAGCUAGCAUUCUCCUCAUUUAAUUCUCCCUUCUCAGUACUCAACUUUGUGUUCAGAUCUAGCACAGCAGUCAGCUCUGCUAAUCAGAC